RNAcentral lists this long non-coding RNA (4168 nucleotides) under Sus scrofa (pig). RNAcentral describes it as "lncRNA (ENSSSCG00000056611.1)". Lineage: Eukaryota; Metazoa; Chordata; Mammalia; Artiodactyla; Suidae. The record is from RNAcentral.
CCACCAUACUGUUUUCCACAGUGGCUGUACCAGUUUACAUUCCCACUAACAGUGUACAAGAGUUCCCUUCUCUCCAUGUUCUCACCAACAUUUGUUAUUUAUGUUAUUUUUUUAUUUUUUUAUUUUUUGUCUUUGGAGCUGAACUGGCAGCAUAUGGAGGUUCCCAGGCUAUGGGUCGAAUCGGAGCUGUAGCUGCUGGCCUACACCACAGCCACAGCAACGCCAGAUCCAAGCUGCAUCUUUGACCUACACCACAGCUCACGGCAAUGCCACAUCCUUAACCCACUGAGCGAGGCCAGGGAUUGAACCUGCAACCUCAUGGUUCCUAAUCGUAUUUGUUUCCGCUGCACCACGAUGGACUCCUGAUAGUUUGUUAUUAAUGUAUAGAAGUGCAGCAGAUUUUUGUAGACUAAUUUUGUAUUGUGCAACUUUACUGAAUUCAUUGAUGAGCUCCAGUCGUGUUUUGGUGAAAUCUUUAGGAUUUCCUAUGUAUAAUAUUAUGUCAUCUGCCCAGAGGGUCUGUUUUACUUUUUCCUUUCCAAUUUGAAUUUGUUUUACUUCUUUUCCUUGUCUGAUUGCUGUGGCUAGGACUUCUAAUACUAUUUUAUUUUUUAUUUUUAUUUUUAUUUUUUGUCUUUUUGCCAUUUUCUUGGGCCACUCUCGCGGCACAUGGAGGUUCCCAGGUCAGGGGUCGAAUCGGAGCUGCAGCCACAGCCCACGCCAGAGCCACAGCAACGUGGGAUCCGAGCCGCGUCUGCAACCUACACCACAGCUCACGGCAACGCCGGAUCGUCAACCCACUGAGCAAGGCCAGGGAUCGAACCUGCAACCUCAUGGUUCCUAGUCGGGUUCACCAACCACUGCGCCAUGACGGGAACUCCCUAAUACUAUUUUAAAUAGGAGUGGACAUCCUUGUCUGGUUCCUGAUCUUAGAGGAAAUGCUUUCAGUUUUUCACCAUUGAGUAUGGUGCUAUUUGUGGGCUUAUCAUAUAUGGCAUUUGUUAUGUUGAGGUAUGUUCCCUCUGUACCCAUUUUUUUUUUUUUUUGGAGAAUUUGUCUUAUAAAUGGGUGUUGAACUUUGUCAAAAGCUUUUAUGCAUCUAUUGAAAUGAUCAUAUGGUUUUUAUUCACUUUGUGGAUGUGGUGUAUCCUAUGAUUGAUUUGCAGUCAUUGAACUGUCCUUACAUUCCUGAGGUAAAUCCCACUCGAUCAUGGUGUAUGAUCCUUUUAAUGUAUUGUUGGGUUCAAUUUGCUAAUACUUUGUUGAGGAUUUUGGCAUCUAUGUUCAUCAGUGGUAUUGGCCUAUUAAUUUUCUCUUUUUUGUGUGGUGUUUUUGUCUGGUUUUGGUAUUAGGGUGAUGCUGGCCUAACUGAAUGUGUUCAGAAGUGGCAGAAGUGUUCCUUCCUCUGCAGUUUUAUUGGAAUAAUUUGAGAAGGAUAAGUAUUAACUCAUCUCUAAAUGUUCAGCAUUAUUCACCUGUGAAGCAAUCUGGUCCUCAACUUUUUAUUUGUUGGGAAGUUUUUACCUUCUAUUUUUUUUGUCUUUUUGCCUUUUCUAGGGCCACUCCCGUGGCAUAUGGAGAUUCCCAGGCUGGGGGUCUAAUCAGAGCUGUAGCCACUGGCCUACGCCAUAGCCACAGCCACAGCAACGUGGGAUCUGAGCUGCGUCUGCAACCUACACCACAGCUCACAGCAACGCCAGAUCCUUAACCCACUGAGCGAGGCCAUGGAUCAAACCCGCAACCUCAUGGUUCCUAGUCUGAUCCAUUAAACACUGAGCCACGACCAGAACUCCUAGCUUCUGUUUUUUAAUUAUUACUUAUUCAUUACUGGUAAUAGGUCUUUUCAUAUUUUCUACUUCCUCCUGGUUCAGCCUUGGGAGAUUGUACAUUUCUAGGAAUUUGUCCAUCCUUUCUAGGUUGUCCAUUUUAUUGGCAUAUGGUUGUUCAUAGUAAUCUCUUAUGACCCUUUGUAUCAUGUGGUAUUGGUUGUAACUUCUCCUUUUUCAUUUCUGAUUUUAUUGAUUUGGGCCCUUUCUCCUUUUUUUCUUGAUGAGGCUCACCAAAGAUUUAUCAAUUUUGUUUAUCUUUUCAAAGACCCAGCUCUUUUCUCAUUUAUUUCGGCUCUGAUCUUUAUGAUUUCCUUCCGUCUAUUGAUUUUGGGUUUUGUCUUUUUCUAGUUCCCUGAGGUGUAAGGUUAGGUUGUUUAUUUGAAGUAAGCUUGUAUCACUACAGACUUUCCUCAUAGAACUUUUUUGUUAUUUUGGAUCAUUUUCAUUUUCGUUUGUUUCCAGGUUUUUGUGGGGUUUUUUCUUAUUUGAUUUUUUUCAGUGAUCCAUUGUAAUAUAGUUGCAUAUUGUUUGGCCUCCAUGUUUGUGGUUUUUGUAGUCCCUCUCCCACCCGCACCUGCAUCUGCAUGGAUGCUAGUCAGGUUCUUAACUAUUCUACUAAGUCACAACAGGAACUCCAGAAUUCUGCUUUUUAAAAAUUCAUCUGGUUCUGUGUUAUAUGGGGAUGAGCACUUUAAUAUUAAGACUUUUCAGAACAACAACAAAAAAAUCCAAUCUACUCAACAUUGUCUCUCUAUAUUCUAUCUCCUGUUUAGUUAUAUGUUGGAAUAUUUGGACAUAUCCCUGUAUCUUUUAGCUUUCCUUGAUACUUUCUCCAUCUGUACUUCUAGGCUGAGUAAUGGGAAGCAUGCCUUGCAAUCAUCCCGCUCACAGCUUUGCUCUUAAGCUGUUUGUUUUUUAAUUUAAUGGCUAUAUAUCUACUGUGUCCUUGGGAUAUCAGAUACACUUGCUUGUUAUACCUUUCUUAUAUGGAUUUUUUUCUUUUGAAAAUUUUCUUUGGGUUUUUCUUGAAAUAUUUUGGUGAUUCAUACUUGUAAUUUGUUUAGUUGCUCAUUUUUGUAUUUGAGAGCCUAUUUUUGUGGAUGUUGUUUUGUUUAUCGAAUCCAGUGAUGGGAGGGGCGGGCUGUGCUACCAGGUAAGGAUAUGUCAGUAUUUUUGAUUCUGGGUAUAGGCGUCUCUUCCCUGGUGGGGGCACUGCCCUGCUUCUCCAGCUCCAGUGGCUUCAUGCAAUGUUACAUUAUAGACUGUAUAUAGACACCCUAUCUGCCCCCAAGUCAGCCCAUGGGUGGGGGUUGGAACUUGCCUUGCUAUUCCGUCAGCUCCCUAAUGAGUCUCCCUGCCCAAAAAGAGUCCCUGACCCACCAGCAUCCAUGGGUAUCCUGCUCUGUGCAUCUAUUAAUCCUGGGUUCCAACACAUUCCUCCCUUUGCAGUAGUCUACCUGUUUUGUGUUGUGAUUUCCUCCCAUUUUAUUUGCCUAUAUCUUAGAUCCCAUCUGCUCUCUAUCUUUCUGGCAUUCCCCAAAAUUUCAAUUCCAUUGCUAGCCCUCUCAUUUCUUAGUGCCAAGGCAGAUUUUCAUAUUUUUCCUCUACUUUAGCCCCUUAUGGAAUUUAGGUUUGAAUGAGAUUGUAGAUGUUUCUGUUCCAUAUGCCAUCUUGAUUCAUUCUCACUAAUACCGUGUUAAAAUAACAACAAAAAUGUUUGUAGCCUUCUUCUUAUUUCAGUUAAUUUUCUUGAAGAGAACUAGUGUUGCAGUGGCUCCUGGGCUGGUCCUGUAGUUACAAAAUGUGCUGUACUACUAGCCAUAAACAGGAUUCUUUACAAGGAAUUAUUGAAAUAGCAGCUCUUUUCUCUGCUCCCUAGUAUGCAAAAUUUUGUAAUAAACUUACUGAUACUAAAGAGCAAAUCCUAGCAUUGAAUACUCUCAACGGUCACAAAACAAUAUUCAGUAAUAACCGAUUUUGUUGGCAUUAAAAGAUUAGGGACAAGAGAAUUAUUUUUAAAACUACUCAGUUGGGCAGCAUCGUGGCAGUGGAAGAUGUUCCUCCUGUUGUCCUCCCUUUAAAAUAAUGAAUUAGACAUCAAUCCACAAACGAAAGCACUGUUGUGGGAACAAGCACAAUAUGCCAAGGGACCCAUGAGGAGUCUCACCUACCUGUUAAUCCAGUCACAAGCUCUUGAACGAGCAAAACUGUUCCAAAUCCUCAUGUCCCAUUCCGAAAAAAAGUCUGGAGAGUGCCGACAGGUAAACAUGGGCAGGUAAACAUGGAUAGGAGAAAAUCUGCAGAAAUCCAGACUUCCCACUGGGAGAUACCAGCCCACU